Molecule: long non-coding RNA, 514 nt
Organism: Octodon degus (degu)
Lineage: Eukaryota; Metazoa; Chordata; Mammalia; Rodentia; Octodontidae
Exons: 3
Source: RefSeq, a predicted model, not a curated record
CGACAUGUGGUGUGGAGCAGGAAUGGGAUAAAGACUCAGGGAAGAAAUGAGUGAAGUACACAAUGGCCAGAGGCCUCUAGGACCGCGAAUCCCGCUGGAGAGGUGACCUGCGGCUGGGAUCCAUCGCUUGCCUGCAGGGAAAUUGGCACAGGAGGAAUGCACGUGGUGCUGUGAGCCGCGGGCACUAAGGUUGUUCAGAGAGGGAGCGCGCACAGCAGCGCUGAAGGACCGCUUCCUGGGCAUUCCUGAGCUCAAGGAAAACUCAACUCUGCUGUCCCAUCCAGGGAAACACCUGAGAUUGAAAGCAAGAGAUUUGCUUCAGAACUGCUGGGGCCUGCCUAAUUUGGAGCUUGAGACUGUCAUCAACAAGGCCCGAGGUCACUUUAGGGCAGCAGGGAUACACUCUUUUAAAGAUGUGACCAAGAGACCGUGUGGCCCAAGAAGACCGAUGCUGAGCUUAACCGAAGCAGUUUCUGAGAAUUGUCAGGACCCUCGCUGGAUUGGUAAUUCUGCU